This 253-nucleotide ribosomal RNA is filed under the name uncultured bacterium. RNAcentral's name for it is "partial 16S ribosomal RNA". It matches the Rfam family "Bacterial small subunit ribosomal RNA", at positions 524 to 776 of the family's 1533-position model. The record is from RNAcentral.
UACGGAGGAUCCAAGCGUUAUCCGGAUUUAUUGGGUUUAAAGGGUGCGUAGGCGGAAGAAUAAGUCAGAGGUGAAAUCCUGCAGCUUAACUGCAGAACUGCCUUUGAAACUGUUUUUCUUGAAUAUGGUGGCGGCAGGCGGAAUGAAUAAUGUAGCGGUGAAAUGCAUAGAUAUUAUUCAGAACACCAAUUGCGAAGGCAGCUUGCCAUACCAUUAUUGACGCUAAGGCACGAAAGCGUGGGUAGCGAACAGG